RNAcentral lists this ribosomal RNA (492 nucleotides) under uncultured bacterium. RNAcentral describes it as "partial 16S ribosomal RNA". It matches the Rfam family "Bacterial small subunit ribosomal RNA", at positions 28 to 507 of the family's 1533-position model. The record is from RNAcentral.
GAUGAACGCUAGCUACAGGCUUAACACAUGCAAGUCGAGGGGAAACGACAUCGAAAGCUUGCUUUUGAUGGGCGUCGACCGGCGCACGGGUGAGUAACGCGUAUCCAACCUGCCCAUCACUUGGGAAUAACCUUGCGAAAGUAAGACUAAUACCCAAUGACAUCCCACGAAGACAUCUGAAUGGGAUUAAAGAUUUAUCGGUGAUGGAUGGGGAUGCGUCUGAUUAGCUUGUUGGCGGGGUAACGGCCCACCAAGGCAACGAUCAGUAGGGGUUCUGAGAGGAAGGUCCCCCACAUUGGAACUGAGACACGGUCCAAACUCCUACGGGGGGCAGCAGUGAGGAAUAUUGGUCAAUGGGCGAGAGCCUGAACCAGCCAAGUAGCGUGCAGGAUGACGGCCCUAUGGGUUGUAAACUGCUUUUAUAAGGGAAUAAAGUGGGUCUCGUGAGACUUUUUGCAUGUACCUUAUGAAUAAGAACCGGCUAAUUCCGUG